This 716-nucleotide ribosomal RNA is filed under the name Escherichia coli. RNAcentral describes it as "partial 23S ribosomal RNA". It matches the Rfam family "Bacterial large subunit ribosomal RNA", at positions 888 to 1604 of the family's 2925-position model. Lineage: Bacteria; Pseudomonadati; Pseudomonadota; Gammaproteobacteria; Enterobacterales; Enterobacteriaceae. The record is from RNAcentral.
ACUCAUCUCCGGGGGUAGAGCACUGUUUCGGCAAGGGGGUCAUCCCGACUUACCAACCCGAUGCAAACUGCGAAUACCGGAGAAUGUUAUCACGGGAGACACACGGCGGGUGCUAACGUCCGUCGUGAAGAGGGAAACAACCCAGACCGCCAGCUAAGGUCCCAAAGUCAUGGUUAAGUGGGAAACGAUGUGGGAAGGCCCAGACAGCCAGGAUGUUGGCUUAGAAGCAGCCAUCAUUUAAAGAAAGCGUAAUAGCUCACUGGUCGAGUCGGCCUGCGCGGAAGAUGUAACGGGGCUAAACCAUGCACCGAAGCUGCGGCAGCGACGCUUAUGCGUUGUUGGGUAGGGGAGCGUUCUGUAAGCCUGCGAAGGUGUACUGUGAGGUAUGCUGGAGGUAUCAGAAGUGCGAAUGCUGACAUAAGUAACGAUAAAGCGGGUGAAAAGCCCGCUCGCCGGAAGACCAAGGGUUCCUGUCCAACGUUAAUCGGGGCAGGGUGAGUCGACCCCUAAGGCGAGGCCGAAAGGCGUAGUCGAUGGGAAACAGGUUAAUAUUCCUGUACUUGGUGUUACUGCGAAGGGGGGACGGAGAAGGCUAUGUUGGCCGGGCGACGGUUGUCCCGGUUUAAGCGUGUAGGCUGGUUUUCCAGGCAAAUCCGGAAAAUCAAGGCUGAGGCGUGAUGACGAGGCACUACGGUGCUGAAGCAACAAAUGCCCUG